RNAcentral lists this ribosomal RNA (435 nucleotides) under uncultured bacterium. Its description in RNAcentral is "partial 16S ribosomal RNA". It matches the Rfam family "Bacterial small subunit ribosomal RNA", at positions 29 to 507 of the family's 1533-position model. The record is from RNAcentral.
AACGAACGCUGGCGGCAGGCUUAACACAUGCAAGUCGAACGCAUGCCUUCGGGCAUGAGUGGCAGACGGGUGAGUAACGCGUGGGAACCUACCCCUUGGUACGGGAUAGCUCCGGGAAACUGGAGAUAAUACCGUAUGUGUCCUGAGGGACAAAGAUUCAUCGCCAAGGGAUGGGCCCGCGUCGGAUUAGCUAGUUGGUGGGGUAACGGCCUACCAAGGCGACGAUCCGUAGCUGGUCUAAGAGGAUGAUCAGCCACAUUGGGACUGAGACACGGCCCAAACUCCUACGGGAGGCAGCAGUGGGGAAUAUUGGACAAUGGGCGCAAGCCUGAUUCAGCCAUGCCGCGUGAGUGAUGAAGGCCCUAGGGUUGUAAAGCUCUUUCACCGGUGACGAUAAUGACGGUAACCGGAGAAGAAGCCCCGGCUAACUUCGUG